GUGAGGUGAUGAUGAAGUUUAUCCAUUCUCUGAGUGCAGUGGCGCUGCCCUCCUGCAACACCCCUGACUCCUGUUCUAGGGUUUGGGUGCUGUGCAGCCUCCAGACACCCUCCAGUCUGCCAGUGUCCUACUGGGGGCUGCUGCGGUGUGUGGCUGGCUGCCUGCAGGAGCAAAGCAGUGCUGGCAGGGUCAGAGCCCCUCUCUGGAGGGGCUCUGUCCCCACUAAGACGAGGGAUGACUGUCUGAUUGC
This 250-nucleotide small nucleolar RNA is filed under the name Anas platyrhynchos (mallard). Its description in RNAcentral is "Small nucleolar RNA SNORD17 (ENSAPLG00020016713.1)". It matches the Rfam family "Small nucleolar RNA SNORD17". Rfam says of the family: The snoRNA HBI-43 belongs to the C/D family of snoRNAs, guiding 2'O-ribose methylation at position U3797 of the 28S rRNA. The record is from RNAcentral. Lineage: Eukaryota; Metazoa; Chordata; Aves; Anseriformes; Anatidae.